GAUGAACGCUGGCGGCGUGCCUAAUACAUGCAAGUCGAGCGAACGGACGAGAAGCUUGCUUCUCUGAUGUUAGCGGCGGACGGGUGAGUAACACGUGGAUAACCUACCUAUAAGACUGGGAUAACUUCGGGAAACCGGAGCUAAUACCGGAUGAUAUUUUGAACCGCAUGGUUCAAAAGUGAAAGACGGUCUUGCUGUCACUUAUAGAUGGAUCCGCGCUGCAUUAGCUAGUUGGUAAGGUAACGGCUUACCAAGGCAACGAUGCAUAGCCGACCUGAGAGGGUGAUCGGCCACACUGGAACUGAGACCCGGUCCAGACUCCUACGGGAGGCAGCAGUAGGGAAUCUUCCGCAAUGGGCGAAAGCCUGACGGAGCAACGCCGCGUGAGUGAUGAAAGUCUUCGGAUCGUAAAACUCUGUUAUUAGGGAAGAACAUAUGUGUAAGUAACUGUGCACAUCUUGACGGUACCUAAUCAGAAAGCCACGGCUAACUACGUG
Molecule: ribosomal RNA, 497 nt
Filed under: uncultured bacterium
Lineage: Bacteria
Description: partial 16S ribosomal RNA
Rfam family: Bacterial small subunit ribosomal RNA
Source: RNAcentral